This 28-nucleotide non-coding RNA is filed under the name Mus musculus (house mouse). The record is from RNAcentral. Lineage: Eukaryota; Metazoa; Chordata; Mammalia; Rodentia; Muridae.
UGACCAAAGACAGGGCACAAGACCUUUU